This 243-nucleotide ribosomal RNA is filed under the name uncultured bacterium. Its description in RNAcentral is "partial 16S ribosomal RNA". It matches the Rfam family "Bacterial small subunit ribosomal RNA", at positions 534 to 776 of the family's 1533-position model. The record is from RNAcentral.
UCAAGCGUUGUUCGGAUUCAUUGGGCGUAAAGAGCUCGUAGGCGGCCACUCAAGUCGAAUGUGAAACCUCGAGGCUUAACCUCGAGCCUGCAUUCGAUACUGGGCGGCUAGAGUCUGGUAGGGGGAUCUGGAAUUCCUGGUGUAGCGGUGGAAUGCGCAGAUAUCAGGAGGAACACCGGUGGCGAAGGCGGGAUCCUGGGCCAGUACUGACGCUGAGGAGCGAAAGCGUGGGGAGCAAACAGG